This 472-nucleotide ribosomal RNA is filed under the name uncultured bacterium. RNAcentral describes it as "bacterial SSU rRNA". It matches the Rfam family "Bacterial small subunit ribosomal RNA", at positions 335 to 801 of the family's 1533-position model. The record is from RNAcentral.
ACUCCUACGGGAGGCAGCAGUGGGGAAUAUUGGACAAUGGGGGAACCCUGAUCCAGCCAUGCCGCGUGUGUGAAGAAGGCCUUAUGGUUGUAAAGCACUUUAAGCGAGGAGGAGGCUACUGAGACUAAUACUCUUGGAUGGUGGACGUUACUCGCAGAAUAAGCACCGGCUAACUCUGUGCCAGCAGCCGCGGUAAUACAGAGGGUGCGAGCGUUAAUCGGAUUUACUGGGCGUAAAGCGUGCGUAGGCGGCUUUUAAGUCGGAUGUGAAAUCCCCGAGCUUAACUUGGGAAUUGCAUUCGAUACUGGGAAGCUAGAGUAUGGGAGAGGAUGGUAGAAUUCCAGGUGUAGCGGUGAAAUGCGUAGAGAUCUGGAGGAAUACCGAUGGCGAAGGCAGCCAUCUGGCCUAAUACUGACGCUGAGGUACGAAAGCAUGGGAGCAAACAGGAUUAGAUACCCCUGGUAGGAUAGCG